RNAcentral lists this ribosomal RNA (1194 nucleotides) under metagenome. RNAcentral describes it as "bacterial SSU rRNA". It matches the Rfam family "Bacterial small subunit ribosomal RNA", at positions 335 to 1520 of the family's 1533-position model. The record is from RNAcentral.
ACUCCUACGGGAGGCAGCAGUAGGGAAUCUUCCGCAAUGGACGAAAGUCUGACGGAGCAACGCCGCGUGAGUGAUGAAGGUUUUCGGAUCGUAAAGCUCUGUUGUUAGGGAAGAACAAGUACCGUUCGAACAGGGCGGUACCUUGACGGUACCUAACCAGAAAGCCACGGCUAACUACGUGCCAGCAGCCGCGGUAAUACGUAGGUGGCAAGCGUUUUCCGGAAUUAUUGGGCGUAAAGGGCUCGCAGGCGGUUUCUUAAGUCUGAUGUGAAAGCCCCCGGCUCAACCGGGGAGGGUCAUUGGAAACUGGGGAACUUGAGUGCAGAAGAGGAGAGUGGAAUUCCACGUGUAGCGGUGAAAUGCGUAGAGAUGUGGAGGAACACCAGUGGCGAAGGCGACUCUCUGGUCUGUAACUGACGCUGAGGAGCGAAAGCGUGGGGAGCGAACAGGAUUAGAUACCCUGGUAGUCCACGCCGUAAACGAUGAGUGCUAAGUGUUAGGGGGUUUCCGCCCCUUAGUGCUGCAGCUAACGCAUUAAGCACUCCGCCUGGGGAGUACGGUCGCAAGACUGAAACUCAAAGGAAUUGACGGGGGCCCGCACAAGCGGUGGAGCAUGUGGUUUAAUUCGAAGCAACGCGAAGAACCUUACCAGGUCUUGACACCCUCUGACAAUCCUAGAGAUAGGACGUCCCCUUCGGGGGCAGAGUGACAGGUGGUGCAUGGUUGUCGUCAGCUCGUGUCGUGAGAUGUUGGGUUAAGUCCCGCAACGAGCGCAACCCUUGAUCUUAGUUGCCAGCAUUCAGUUGGGCACUCUAAGGUGACUGCCGGUGACAAACCGGAGGAAGGUGGGGAUGACGUCAAAUCAUCAUGCCACUUAUGACCUGGGCUACACACGUGCUACAAUGGACAGAACAAAGGGCAGCGAAACCGCGAGGUUAAGCCAAUCCCACAAAUCUGUUCUCAGUUCGGAUCGCAGUCUGCAACUCGACUGCGUGAAGCUGGAAUCGCUAGUAAUCGCGGAUCAGCAUGCCGCGGUGAAUACGUUCCCGGGCCUUGUACACACCGCCCGUCACACCACGAGAGUUUGUAACACCCGAAGUCGGUGAGGUAACCUUUUAGGAGCCAGCCGCCGAAGGUGGGACGGAUGAUUGGGGUGAAGUCGUAACAAGGUAGCCGUAUCGGAAGGUGCGGCUG